ACCCUAUGAACAUAUAUUUACCUAAUUUAAACCUUUUUACAAGAUUAUACCAUCAUACGACACUCCCAAACCUGCCCAAAACCUAAGGACACACUAGAACACAUUCUUCUCUAGUUUCCGAACGUCGUGGUCGUUUCUUAACGUUUAGACUUUUACUCUUCCAAAUCAAGUCAAUUGCAUAAAUUUAGGUUUAGAAACAUCAUUUUAACUAUUUUUAAUUCAUUAUUCAUAAGGUAAGGCUCUAACUUAAGUCAUAGAAUUUUUGGGGUGUUACAAACACUAUAAAAACAGC
Molecule: long non-coding RNA, 292 nt
Filed under: Solanum tuberosum (potato)
Lineage: Eukaryota; Viridiplantae; Streptophyta; Magnoliopsida; Solanales; Solanaceae
Description: long non-coding RNA (STUB_LNC011699)
Source: RNAcentral